AACGUGGAUGCCUGGAGGCACUGGCGGCCGUUUGGAUGAAAUAGCGCUCUGUUUCCUUGGUUACAGGUGUUUGCCUUGGCUCUUUUCCGGAAAUCAACAGGCUCCUCUUGGAGCUUGAUGUACACACCUGUGUGUGAUAGACCAGGGUUCUCGGCCUUCCCCAAUCAAUAGAAAUUGGAGACGUUUGUUCAGGUGCAAGCAUUGCAGCACUGCAGGAAAUGGUCCCAGGUCCCAGUGUCUCAUGUGUAUACCUGGACUCAGAUAUUCAGGGACCAGUUGUUAUUCAUCUGGGAAUCCUCCAGGACGCUAGAAAGGUUGGUGGCAUGGAGUAAUACUGACUUUGGUAGACUGGAAAAUGGCCGCCCAAAUAUUUUCAUGCCAUAAUUCUCAGUUUUAUGCCUGUUUAAAUUACAUGGCAAAAGGGACUUUGCAGAUGGAAUUAAGGUUAUAGACCUUAAAUUAGGGAAGUUACCCAGAUGUGCCCAGUGUAAUCAAAUGGACCUUUAAAAGAAGGCAGAAGGGUCCAUCAUCAAUAAGAUUAUGGAAGAAGCAGGA
Molecule: long non-coding RNA, 555 nt
Organism: Kogia breviceps (pygmy sperm whale)
Lineage: Eukaryota; Metazoa; Chordata; Mammalia; Artiodactyla; Physeteridae
Source: RefSeq, a predicted model, not a curated record